GCUGCGAGGAAUGAGCGGUUGGCUCGGGCUGGUUUCCUCCCUCCACCGCCUGCUUGUUUCGCCAUGCCCGGGCCGGACGGUGGGGCUGCAGCGGCGAAAGCGACUGAAGUCCGGGAGCAGUCGCAUGAGCUUCCCGGUCACCAGGAGGCCCCGGGAACAGACACCUCACCCUGACAUUGUGGCAGGAACUUCUGGAUUGCUUUCCAAAGUGGCUGCACUGUUUUCUAUCCCCACUGGUAAAUGGCAGGAAAACAUCUAAGAAAGGAGGCUCCCCCCUUCCCUUGCAGGGUUACCAGCAAUUAAAAAGAAGUACUAGAGAGGCAAAUAUCGGCAGUAUACAUCUAAGCGCUGGUCGGAAAAGAAGGAACUCAGCCCAAGAACUUGCCCAAUCUGAUACUGGAGGUGCCACUCAAGAACCACUCCCUCCAAGAUGUUUUCCUGGAUUUCCUCAGCCUAAAGUAAUCCCUCUUUUUCCUGGCUAUACCAUCUGGAACAGAUGACUUCCAAGGACACCGUAGCAAAGAAAAAGAGAACUGGAAGCCCAUGUGCCUUAAUCGCUUCAUCCUAGAGGGCGCAGCAGUCUGGAAAUAGAAACAAUGGUGGUGGAUCAAUUCAAUUGAUCCAGAUUUGGAAGUUGCGUGGCAAGUGAGAAGGAUUUGGAUGGUAAUGGUGAGAAAGGAUUUGAAAUAAUUUAUCAAACCUGGUUCAGAUCAAUCCUGGUGCAUAAGUGACUAACAAGGAGCUGGAGUGGAUGGCAUAGCAUAGUGGCUAGAACCCUAAAACAAGGGAUUUUACAUGAAAGUGGAAAGGUAACUGUUUGGUUUUGCAUUUACCCAUUCCCUCUGUUGAGUUUUUUUUUUUUAAUACUGAGUUAUUCACUACUUUGUCUUCUUUUUUUUUGAGACAGAGUCUCAUUCUGUUGCUCAGGCUAGAGUACAGUGGCAAUCUCGGCUCACUGCAGUCUCUACCUCCUGGGUUCCAGUGAUUCUUGUUCCUCAACCUUCUGAGUAGCUGGGAUUACAGAUGCCCACUACCAUGCCCAGCUAAUUUUUGUGUUUUUAUUAGAGAUGGGGUUUCACCAUGUUGACCAGGCUGAUCUCGAACUCCUGACCUCAAGUAACCCACCCACCUCAGCCUCCCAAAGUGCUGGGAUUACAGGCGUAAGCCACUGCACCUGGCCUGCUUUGCCUUCUUAAACAGAUGAUUCAGAACAUAAUAUAACCUUGUCUUGUGACUCAGGGUGGCCAUUAUGAUCAUCUGCUUUUGACCUGGACCUCUGAGGCAUGUAGCAAUAUGUCUUUCCUUAUGUCUUUUCCCUAAGUGUGUUCCGGAUUUUUGUGCUUUUGAAGAAGUUCUGAGAUCAACGUAUUCUUGGUUCUUCUAAUGUGUAGCUGUUUGACUAAGGACUGACUCCAUGCAUCUCCUAUGAAGUGAAGUUCAUGGGUUUUAUGACAGCAAUUUUACAUGCUGCUUAGAUGCUUUUUUCUCAUCUAGGUUUUUAGUUAUAUUAUGGCAGAGAUUAUAAGAAAUCUGAUCUCUAGAGAAGUGCUGGUACUUCUUUAAUUUGGCAUAGACUAUUUUUGGCAAGCUAGUUUUCUAGCAUUGAACACUUUAAUGAAUAAGUUCAUAGUCACCCUAUCCACAUUCUUUUUAAUGGUAGAAAACUGUCUGUCUAAUACAGUAGCCAUUAGCUACAUGUAGAUUUUUAAAUUUAAAUAUACAUUAAUUAAGAGUAGGCUGGGCAUGGUGGUUCAUGCCUGUAAUCCCAGCACUUCAGAAGGCCAAAGUGGGUGGAUCAUUUGAGGUCAGGAGUUCAAGACCAGCCUGGCCAACAUGGUGAAACCCCGUUUCCACUAAAAAUACAAAAAUUAGCUGGGCGUGGUGGUACACACCUGUAAUCCCAGCUACUCGGGAGGCUGAGGCAGGAGAAUUCCUUGAACCCAGGAGGCAGAGGUUUGCAGUAGCCGAAAUCCGCCACUGCACUUCAACCUGGGUGACAGAGCAAGACUCCAUCUC
This 2016-nucleotide long non-coding RNA is filed under the name Homo sapiens (human). Its description in RNAcentral is "HSALNT0285710". The record is from RNAcentral. Lineage: Eukaryota; Metazoa; Chordata; Mammalia; Primates; Hominidae.